Molecule: ribosomal RNA, 253 nt
Filed under: uncultured bacterium
Lineage: Bacteria
Description: partial 16S ribosomal RNA
Rfam family: Bacterial small subunit ribosomal RNA
Source: RNAcentral
UACGUAGGGGGCAAGCGUUGUCCGGAUUUAUUGGGCGUAAAGAGCGUGUAGGCGGCCUGGAAGGUCAGCUGUGAAAACUCGAGGCUCAACCUCGAGACGUCGGUUGAAACCACCUGGCUAGAGUCCGGAAGAGGAGAGUGGAAUUCCUGGUGUAGCGGUGAAAUGCGCAGAUAUCAGGAAGAACACCCGUGGCGAAGGCGGCUCUCUGGGACGGUACUGACGCUGAGACGCGAAAGCGUGGGGAGCGAACAGG